AUUGAACGCUGGCGGCAGGCCUAACACAUGCAAGUCGAGCGGAUGAAGGGAGCUUGCUCCUGGAUUCAGCGGCGGACGGGUGAGUAAUGCCUAGGAAUCUGCCUGGUAGUGGGGGAUAACGUCCGGAAACGGGCGCUAAUACCGGAUACGUCCUGAGGGAGAAAGUGGGGGAUCUUCGGACCUCACGCUAUCAGAUGAGCCUAGGUCGGAUUAGCUAGUUGGUGGGGUAAAGGCCUACCAAGGCGACGAUCCGUAACUGGUCUGAGAGGAUGAUCAGUCACACUGGAACUGAGACACGGUCCAGACUCCUACGGGAGGCAGCAGUGGGGAAUAUUGGACAAUGGGCGAAAGCCUGAUCCAGCCAUGCCGCGUGUGUGAAGAAGGUCUUCGGAUUGUAAAGCACUUUAAGUUGGGAGGAAGGGCAGUAAGUUAAUACCUUGCUGUUUUGACGUUACCAACAGAAUAAGCACCGGCUAACUUCGUG
This 484-nucleotide ribosomal RNA is filed under the name uncultured bacterium. RNAcentral describes it as "partial 16S ribosomal RNA". It matches the Rfam family "Bacterial small subunit ribosomal RNA", at positions 30 to 507 of the family's 1533-position model. The record is from RNAcentral.